AUGGCGAGCAGGGCGGUUGACUGGAUGAGCAUUUCGCCGGCAGAGCUGCCAGCGCAAAACAUGAAGGCGAUGGCGACGUACGAGGCGCGGCCCUCGCAAGGCGCCCGUCCACCAGUUCGUCGACGACAACGCUGCCAUGAGUCUCCAGAGAUGUGGAGUCCUUCCGAUGAGAAAAGCAGCAGCAAGGUAUAUGGCAGCAGGGAUGCAGCAGCGCCGCAGUCGAAGAGGAAGCCCAUGGAUGCCGGCAGCACUCCUUUCCUGGUGGCCGCCGGUAGAUGUCGGUCUUCCAGCCCCUAG
This 297-nucleotide ribosomal RNA is filed under the name Triticum aestivum (bread wheat). Its description in RNAcentral is "partial small subunit ribosomal RNA". Lineage: Eukaryota; Viridiplantae; Streptophyta; Magnoliopsida; Poales; Poaceae. The record is from RNAcentral.